RNAcentral lists this long non-coding RNA (1259 nucleotides) under Monodelphis domestica (gray short-tailed opossum). RNAcentral's name for it is "lncRNA (ENSMODG00000030732.2)". The record is from RNAcentral. Lineage: Eukaryota; Metazoa; Chordata; Mammalia; Didelphimorphia; Didelphidae.
AUAGAGUAUGAAACUGAGGCCCAGGGUGAUUUUAAUGACACAGGGUCACACAGUAGUAUGCAUUGGAGGUAGAAACCAUGUCCUUUACCACUAGAGUCCUUCCCCUAUAAUGAGCUGCUUUGUACUUAUGAGGUCAUGGUUGAUAUCAUACAGAGACUAGAUUGGGGUGGGGUUGGGACAAGAGCCUGGCAGAAGAGGGUUAGAGGCUGGGUUUAGGAAUGCAGCUUUGGGACUCCAUCUAGGCUUGAGGGGCAAAAAAGAGAAAUUCCUUUAACGAAGAAUGAGCUUGGAGAAAUUGUAUCUUUUCCCUUGAGCCCCAUUAUAUCUGUGACUGUAUUCCGUGGAGCCUUCUGAAGACAUCAAGCAUCUGAUGGACCUCCAAUCGCCAUUCAGCAAAAAGGGAUUAAUGGCAGAGCAAACAAGUCAGGGGACAGGAGAGCCCCCUAACGUCAAUAAAAGUAAUCUACAAGAUCACGUGGAAAAAAUAAUGCUGCAAUACCAUGAAGAGGUCCAAAUCAGAGAUGAAAUUGAGGAGCAACUGUGCCUCAAAAUCAAAGAGUUGGAGGAGAAAGUGAAAGCACAGGAUACCCAGCUGAUGAUGGCCAGAACACAAUGGCUCCAGGUGCUGGCUAUAUUCAAAAAGCUGCAAAAGGAGCUUCAGGAAGAUGCUCGGAUCAGAGCGGAGGAGAGGAAACGUGAACAGAGGUAUGAAAACCUGUUUCAUGAAAUCCAAGUCAUCAGUACCCAGACCUGGAAACCUCAAGUCUCUAGAUUAGAGGACCAAUCCAAAGGGAACAAUAUUGUUGAACCCAGUCUCAGGCUCCUCUGUCCACUCCCUGAGGGACUCUCUCCCAGAUCUAACCUGAUUCCCAGGAACCUAGGGCUGCACUCUGGAGAGCAUGCUUCCUCAGCUCCUGUUCCACCCACUGGCCUCAUAAGACUGUACUCCCAAGGGUUGGUCCCAUGGAAUGCAGGCCCACCUGUGACCGCCAUGAUCAAGAAGAAGACCAAGGCCCUUCAGGCCAUUGCCCCGACACGGAGUAGUGACACACUGUUGAGCAGUGGUGGAGGAGAAGCAAUGGUUUGGAUAUCGCAACAGAAGACACCAUUACUACUGGGCAAGACACCAGCUGAAGCAGGAAGCUCUGGCCUUGGGAUAAGACUUGGGCACCCAAAUCUUCCACCACCAGAAGCUGUUCAAGAAAUAACGCAUUAAAUAACUAAACAGACAAAUAAAGAUUCAACUACAUGAAAGGACA